This 371-nucleotide long non-coding RNA is filed under the name Sorghum bicolor (sorghum). Its description in RNAcentral is "long non-coding RNA (SBIC_LNC004391)". Lineage: Eukaryota; Viridiplantae; Streptophyta; Magnoliopsida; Poales; Poaceae. The record is from RNAcentral.
AGUGCAAGUCUUUUAGUCUUGUUGUGCAUUUACUUUAGUAAUAUAGUUGUCUUAGUGAAGUUAGUGACCUGUAACCACUCCUAUGUGUGCAUCAUCGUCCUAUCUUGUAUAGGAGCUCUAGCUAGCUGCAACUAGUUAGCGUUGUAGGAUUAAGUGUGAGCGUGGUGCUCAUACUUAAGAUUACCUUUGAUUACCGCUGGCUUGAACGGAAAGUAGGAGCGCACUCCCUAGUAGGUGACAGAUCGUGGGCGGCAUUAGGUUCUCCUCACGUACAGGCUAGUUCUUAAAAGGUAAGGCGUCCAUAAGCCCAAUAGUCGCUUUCGGUAAGGGGUUAGGUGAAAAACCUUCUAAGCGUCUUACCAGCUCGGCCA